Molecule: long non-coding RNA, 635 nt
Organism: Nicotiana attenuata
Lineage: Eukaryota; Viridiplantae; Streptophyta; Magnoliopsida; Solanales; Solanaceae
Exons: 4
Source: RefSeq, a predicted model, not a curated record
UAUCCAAGUGCCUACUGUCUUAAGCUGGCCAUCUUAUCUGAUAACAAUCAUCUUCUUCCGUCGUGCAGUGCACUGUCACCCUCGUUAUUGGUCUUAUUCCCAGACCAAUAAUUCACUGUAAUCACUCACCUUCAUACUCUUGCUGGGAAAAUAAAAUGGGAGAGAUGUCUUGUAAACUGCUUUUGCAAAUUAUCGUAGUUGUCUCAGUAUUGUAUCCUAAAGUAUUGGUAAAUUGUAGUGAUUCUAAAGAUGUGAGUGAAUGGUUUUGUUAUCAAGAAUGCGUGGACGCAUAUCAGAAUUUCUCUAUCCUCUAUUCGAGCCGUUCAGAGUUGGAUAAUCGAGGAAAAGGUCUCCUAAUGGAUUGAUUUAGCGUGUUUUGAGAUCCAGGUACCUUCUACCAGUCCAGGCAUCAAUGAGUUGAGUUCGUACUCGAAGACUUCAAGGUACACCUGCCGGCGUCCGCAGUCACCCUCUAUCUAUUUCUAUAUUUUCCUCCUUUUAUUAGAUACAGUUGUAUAGGGAUGGCAAUGAUAUUGUAGAGCUUGUGACUCGAUAUCACCAGGUUUUGGAAAAAUUUUAUAUAUUGAGAUAUGGAGCAUUCUUUUAUUAAAAUUCAUUGAAUAUUUGAGAUUUUA